RNAcentral lists this unclassified non-coding RNA (296 nucleotides) under Hevea brasiliensis (rubber tree). The record is from RNAcentral. Lineage: Eukaryota; Viridiplantae; Streptophyta; Magnoliopsida; Malpighiales; Euphorbiaceae.
AACAAAGUUGACAUCAAAUCCUGAAAAACUAGGGUAUUAAUUGCCAGAAAUUCUUGCUAAAAUUAAUGAUUGUGCAAGUCCAUUUAACAUGCUACGGCAUGAGGAUAAAAAAAAAUUGAAGUCAGUGGACUUCAAAAGCAGUGUCAGUCAAGAUAACUAUUUAAUCAUUCCUCUUCAAAAGAGAGAAGAGGCAACAUUAGUAUAUUCAGCAUUUUAAGCAUUUACAAAAGAAGAAGAAAGAAACAGUGAUAGCCAAAAGACAAAAAAAGUCUUACCACCAAGUUUACAGUCAAGGA